RNAcentral lists this ribosomal RNA (690 nucleotides) under Mucor janssenii. RNAcentral describes it as "eukaryotic LSU rRNA". It matches the Rfam family "Eukaryotic large subunit ribosomal RNA", at positions 50 to 648 of the family's 3401-position model. Lineage: Eukaryota; Fungi; Mucoromycota; Mucoromycetes; Mucorales; Mucoraceae. The record is from RNAcentral.
GCGGAGGAAAAGAAAAUAACAAUGAUUUCCCUAGUAACGGCGAGUGAAGAGGAAAGAGCUCAAAGUUGGAAACUGUUUGGCUUAGCUAAACCGUAUUGUAAACUGUAGAAACAUUUUCCUGGCACACCAGAUUAAUAAGUCCUUUGGAACAAGGCAUCAUGGAGGGUGAGAAUCCCGUCUUUGAUCUGAGUAGUUGUCUUUUGUGAUAUGUUUUCAAAGAGUCAGGUUGUUUGGGAAUGCAGCCUAAAUUGGGUGGUAAAUCUCACCUAAAGCUAAAUAUUUGCGAGAGACCGAUAGCGAACAAGUACCGUGAGGGAAAGAUGAAAAGAACUUUGAAAAGAGAGUUAAACAGUAUGUGAAAUUGUUAAAAGGGAACCGUUUGGAGCCAGACUGGUUUGACUGUAAUCAACCUAGAAUUCGUUUUGGGUGCACUUGCAGUCUAUACCUGCCAACAACAGUUUGAUUUGGAGGAAAAAAUUAGUAGGAAUGUGGCCUUUCGAGGUGUUAUAGCCUACUAUCAUACUCUGGAUUGGACUGAGGAACGCAGCGAAUGCCAUUAGGCGAGAUUGCUGGGUGCUUUCGCUAAUAAAUGUUAGAAUUUCUGCUUCGGGUGGUGCUAAUGUUUAAAGGAGGAACACAUCUAGUAUAUUUUUUAUUCGCUUAGGUUGUUGGCUUAAUGACUCUAAUGAC